CGCCAGAUUUGGGGCGGGUGCCCCAAUUCAGCAGCCCACUUCUUGGUCCGUAACUUUUGACUCGCGCAUCCGAUUGCUUCGCCGUUUUUUUUCAAUGAAAGCUAUGAAUCUCCUCUUCGUUCUCCUCCAAAGAAACCUACACAACAUCACACUAAAACAUAUCAAAAACAUCAAAAGCUUGAGGCCAGAUCAUCCAUUUAAGUCAAAACGAAGGCUUCCAAGUGGAUAUAAAAUCCACUUAUCACACCCCCAAACUUAAACCGAUGCUUGUCCUCAAGCAUAGACACACACACAAAUACUAAUAAUGCAAUGCAUGAAUGCAACUAAAUGCGGAUAUAAAAUCCACUUAUCAUAUUUGUUCAAAUUGAUAUAUGUACAUGUAUCGUCUUUGCUAAAACAAGUUUGAGCUAUCGGUCCAUAUUAAUCUUUAUCAUUGAAUCAAACCCUUGAAAAUCCGGCAGAUCUAACGUCCUCGACAUUUAAUCAUACCAAAACAAACCAAAAAACACACCAAACUCUCACAAGGAGUAAAUAAACAAAACGCAAAUAUAUUGGGAAAACUCACCCAAAGAUUAAUUUUAUCAAAUAAAAAAUACAAUCUUGAAAUAUAGAAAUCUUUACUCGGGGAGAAGAAUUAUUGAAAAAUAGAAUAAAACAAAGAAAAUAACUGAUGAUAUGGAGCUUUCCACUGAUGAAACCGGAUGGAAUCCCACGGAUAAAAAGAAGAAGAAGUUCGAGAGGAAUUCUUUUUAGAAUUUUGAGGAGAGUACAGAACAAGGAUAGUUACUUUACAAGUGCGAGUUUGUAUGAUAAUUUAGUGGUGCAAAUCUUAUAUUAUUGUUAAAAAUAGAAAUAAUAAUAUAAAGAUAGUUAGAAGAAUGAACUAUUAAUAUACGAAUUUGAACCAAUAUUUAAUCUCAUUAUUCGAAUGAAAAGAUGAUCUAAGUCUAAAUUUCAACCAAAAUUUAGAUAAAAUUACAGGCCUUCACGGUUGAAAAUCUCAUAAGCCCACAAAUAUAACUUAGAAAAAUUUAGAUCUUUAUGCUUUAGUCAACAGUCGAGGAGAUGAGAGCGAGUAAAGUGAGUUGAAUGAUGGAAUGGAUAUGCACAGAGGAUUAGAACAAAAUGUCGCAAAUAUCUUGUUUACAAAACGCCAAAAGCCUAAAUACUUUUAUUCUGCGAAACUAAAGUUGAUGAACGUGCCAGACCUUGUUAGUAGUAGUAAAGUUGGGAGUGUCUAUUAUUUAAAAUUUUAAAUGAUGUAGUUUAUAAUUUAAAAUUUGAGAAAUUUAUUUUUAAUUCAGUGGGAUAUCGAAUAAUCUAAAAAUUAAAGUGUCGUCAUAAAAAAAGAUAAAUAUAUAUAUAAAUUAUAGAAAAAAAAUAACUAGUCUUCUCAAUUUCCAAUUUCUCUCUCAACUUACUACAAACACGUAUGUUUCUUUAUUACAAAAAAUAGUAACAAAAACCCGGUUUUAUUAAAGAAAAAGCCUAUAUUAGAGGUAAAAAGGGUGACAUAAUAGUUCGUGUUUGUAUAGAAAUAAAAUACAGUAAAAUUAAAAAUAGUUAAAAGAAAAAAUUCUUAUUAAAAAAAAUAUUCAAAAUUAUAUAUUUAUCUUUUGCUGGCCAAACAAUAUGCACUCACUUGUCCUUUCCUUUUUUGUCAUAUGCACUGCUCUUUCUUUGUGCAAGGAUAUGGUUAACACAAAAAUAGAAAGAACUCGUCUCAUCAUCACACUUUUUCCUUUGGAAAACUUGAGCUCUUCAGGAUCGUCACCCCAACACAAUAAUAUUAGCUCUUCCUAACAUGUCAUAUUCGUAGCUCAGACUAAUCCACACCCCUGUGUGUUUUAAUCUUGUCAAAAGAUCUUUAUUAAUGAACACAAAUUAUAGUAAUAUUUAUUUAUAGGAAAAUAUUAUUAUGAGUCAUAAAUUUUUCGGGAUGAUCUGAAAAUCAAGUUACUCAAUAGAUAAUCUAGUAUUUUAAUUGCAGUAGAUUGUUUUUAUGAGUUCGGGUCUUGGAGGGAUAUUCUUUCUACGCAUCUGUGAAGCAAUCGAAAAACAGAAACUGGCACAAUUUAUUUAUAUACUCCGGUUUCUUGCAAUAACAGAGUCAUGAAAACCAAACAAAAGAACAUGAAAGCCAAGGAAAGCAACACAAAGAUGAAAGCAAGCAACUAGGAAAGUGGAAAGGAAAACAGAACAAGAUGCAAGAUUAAGAAGGACAUGGAGAUCGAUAUUGGUGCCAUACAAACUGGUUGCGUCUAGAAGCCAAAGGUGUUACAAGAACAAAGCAUUUGUUACUUGUUCUUGAGCACCCCUCUAGUACUCUUUUUUCUUUUUCCUCUUCAUUUUCCGUCCCUUUGAUCUCGAUGUUGUCCUAGAGUAAGUAGGAACUGCCAGGCUGCUAAUAUUACCGAGAAACACCGCCACAAGUAGCUGAUGAUCACACAACACAGGUUUCAUGGAUACACACUUUGUUUACCACAAAUUUAAGCAACUCUAUGAGCUUGGUCACUUAAGAAAGGAUGCUUAAAAUUUCGGUGCCUAUUUGGGUAACAAGACUUCUGUGUUUUGUGUUUUUAUGCUAAGAAGCCGACUUUUAUGUUAAGGCGGCUUCUAUAUUUUUUGAUCCGUUUGUAUAAAAAAUUAAAAAUAUUUAUGAAAAAUCUGAUAAUGCUAACUUUUAUUGCAGAACGUCUACUUAAUUCUCAAACAAUUAAAAACUAAGUUGAUAUAUAAAAAAAAACGUGCAAAACGCCAAAACUAGCAGGAGUACAUGAUUUUUUUGUCCCG
This 2793-nucleotide long non-coding RNA is filed under the name Daucus carota (carrot). Its description in RNAcentral is "long non-coding RNA (DCAR_LNC000238)". Lineage: Eukaryota; Viridiplantae; Streptophyta; Magnoliopsida; Apiales; Apiaceae. The record is from RNAcentral.